RNAcentral lists this ribosomal RNA (322 nucleotides) under uncultured bacterium. Its description in RNAcentral is "partial 16S ribosomal RNA". It matches the Rfam family "Bacterial small subunit ribosomal RNA", at positions 100 to 426 of the family's 1533-position model. The record is from RNAcentral.
AAAAAAAAAGUAAUGUCUGGGAAACUGCCUGAUGGAGGGGGAUAACUACUGGAAACGGUAGCUAAUACCGCAUAACGUCGCAAGACCAAAGAGGGGGAACUUCGGGCCUCUUGCCCUCGGAUGUGCCCAGAUGGGAUUAGCUAGUAGGUUGGGUAACGGCUCACCUAGGCGACUAUCCCUAGCUGGUUUGAGAGGAUGACGCGCACAACUGGAACUGAGACAAGGUCCAGACUCCUACGGGAGGCAGCAGUGGGGAAUAUUGAACAAUGGGCGCAAGCCUGAUGCAGCCAUGCCGCUUGUAUGAAGAAGGCCUUUUGUUUUU